UUGUAGUCUUUUCCGUCCCUGAUUCCCUCACAUAUUCAUAUUGUACAACACUUUUUAUAUAUCUUCAUUCAUUCCUCCCUUACUCAAUCUUUCCAUCUCUUUCUUUUUAGGGUUUUUGCCCAGAUAGAUGGUCAUGGAUGGGCGAUGGAAGGCUGCGGAUUACGGUGUAUUGAAUUUAAACGACUUAAAGUUUAACGGAUCACCCAAUAUUAUAUCUGAUCAGAGGUUUUUAAAUGCCAUGAAUCUUAAUGAAACGUUUUUAGAUCGGAAUACUGUGAAUCAUGAUCAUAUUCUUCAGGAACGGCCUGAUCCGAGCUUUAGUCUGUCGUCUAGCUCGAAUCUUAAUGAGGAGUUUGACCUUAGUGAUGUGGUUUUCAAGUAUAUAAAUCAGAUGCUUAUGGAAGAAGAUAUAGGGGAAAAGACUUGUAUGCUUCACGGGUCUGCGGCUCUUGAAGCUGCUGAGAAAUCUUUUUAUGAUGCUCUUAUGGUAAAUGAGCCUCCUUUUUGUAGUUCACAUCCUACGGUACCUUUGUAUGAUAAUGAUGGUGGAAAUGAGAUUACUGCAAGGGGUUAUAGUUGUUUUGAUGCUAAUGGUUUUGGAAAUGGUACUAGUCUUAGUUGUGAUGUUAGUGAUUACGACUCUCAUUUAGUACCCAGCGUUUCCGUAAAUCUUGAUUCGCAGUCUGUAUCUCGGUCGUCUAACGGCUCAUCGAGCGGUAACAGUUGUGUUAUAGAUUGUUUUGCGGAUUCACCUGUGAGUGUUCAAAGUGUAUCUGUUACGCAGUAUCAAAAAGGUGUUGGAGAAUCAAGCAGGUUUCCUCUUAGUAGUGGUAAGAACUUAGAUCAACUCGGAACUGUAGAGGCUGAUUCUGUAGUUAUCAAGGCCGAGAAAAAACAUGAAGUUAACUCCAUUGCAGAAGAAUCAAGAGGAAAGAAAAACCCCUAUUCUAAAGAUCUUGUUGAAGAUGGGAGGAUUUCCAAGCAGUUUGCAGUCUAUACCGAGCCUACUGUGAGGUCCAAGAUGUUUGAUGAUGUGCUGCUUUGUGCUGGACAAAAAAAUCUUCCUCAAGGUAAUUUUAUCCACAAUGGGGUCAGUAGAGCACAACCAAAGUCUAAUACGGGUAAGGGCCGUGGUAAGAAAGGUGUAAGAAAGGAUGUGGUCGAUUUGAGGACACUCUUGAGUCUCUGUGCACAAGCUGUUGCAGCUAACGACCAAAGGAGUGGACUCGAUCUAUUGAAACAGAUACGAGAACAUGCUUCACCCACAGGUGAUGGGAUGCAACGAUUGGCCUAUUAUUUCUCUGCUGGUCUUGAAGCACGAAUGGCUGGUUCAGGAACUGAAAUAUACAAAGCCCAUAUUUCCAAGCCUAUGUCGGCCGCCGAUGUGUUGAAAGCUUACCAUUUAUAUCUCAGUUGCUGCCCUUUCAUGAAGAUUUCAAAUUUUUUCUCUAAUAAGACUAUUAUGCAUCUAGCAGAGAACAAGAAGAAGCUACAUAUAAUAGAUAUUGGUAUUCUUUAUGGCUUUCAAUGGCCUUGCUUCAUACAACGUCUGUCAAAAAGGCCUGGUGGUCCACCAGAGCUACGAAUUACUGGCAUUGACUUUCCCUGUCCUGGUUUUAGGCCUUCCGAGAGGGUUAAGGAGACAGGGCGUAGGCUAGCAAACUAUGCAGAAACUUUUAAUGUUCCCUUCAAGUUCAAAGCUAUCGCGCAAAAGUGGGAAACAGUCACACUCGAGGAUCUUGAGCUUGAUAGUGAUGAAACCUUAGUUGUGAAUUGUGCAUAUAGGUUUAAAUACUUGCUUGACGAGACAGUCAUGGUGGAUAGUCCAAGGAAUAAAGUUUUAAACCUUAUUAGGAGAAUGAAACCUGAUAUGUUUAUACAGGGUGUUAUUAAUGGCUCCUACAAUGCCCCUUUCUUUAUCACCAGGUUCAGAGAGGCUCUGUUUUUCUUCUCAUCCGUGUUUGAUAUGAUUGAGGCUAAUGUGACCCGUGAGUCUCAAGAUAGGAUGCUGCUUGAGGAAAACUUAUGGGGACGAGAAGCAAUGAAUGUCAUUGCUUGUGAAGGCUCCGAGAGGAUUGAGAGACCCGAAACGUAUAAGCAGUGGCAGGUUCGUAAUUUGCGGGCUGGAUUUUGCCAACUCCCACUUAAUCAAGAAAUUUUGAAAAUGGCUAAAGAUAGAGCAAAAGCAUGCUACCACCAAGACUUUGGAAUUGAUGAAGAUGGUCAUUGGAUGUUGCAAGGAUGGAAAGGUCGCAUUAUAUAUGCAUUAUCUGCUUGGAAGCCACUUACUAAAGAAAGUUAUUAUCUGGGCAAUGGUGGAAUGCAUUCUACGUCAUGAUUUUGAAUAUGUCAAGAAGUCAUGAUUUUAGAAUGCUAUGUAAGAAGGAAGUCAGCUGCUCCUGAGUGUCCUACUGGCAAUACUGAAUUUGUUGGAACUUUGACAAAUGAAGCAUCCAUGUUUGUGCCUCAAGGACAGCCUUCCUAAGCUUUUGUGGAAACUUCCUUUUCCCUCGUCUGCGUGUAUGUGUGUCAAAUGUGCUUCUACAGUUCUACCCUUUAAUCUAAUGGGGUGUGGUUUUAGGUGGAUACUUUUGUAUAUGGGAAGUCAAUAUUGAAAUACUUGACAUUUCCGCCAAGUGUGUUCGCGAAGUUUUUUGAAAGGCAGACCAGAUAAAUGGCUAACACCCCCAGUUUUUGAUGCACUUACACCAGGUUCGAAUCUUGGCAAUGUCUUAAAGGGUUUGUUCUCUCAUGUGUAGAUGGGUAUAACAUUGCUAAGGCCCCUCACCACAUUUGCAUGUGUCAAGAUUUGAACCCAUGACCCUUAGGAAGAAACCACAAAGUGGAAAACUCCCUAACCACUAGGCUAUCACCCAUUCACCCUAAUGGCUUGUUUCGCGAAGGGCUUAUAAGUUAGCGCUCCAGCUAAUUGUUUCUAAGCUUCAACAAAACACUUAUUUUGUGAUACAUCUUACGGAUGAAAGGUAGAGUAGCAAAGUUUGAAAGUCUCAAAAAUCGAUUUCUGUUUAGUGUGCUUAAUUAAUUCUACUUAGAGAGGCAUAAUUCAGUUUUCCCAAAGAAACAUUUAAAAGUGAAAUGACACGAUUCAAUUAUGUAAGUAUACAUAUAUAUACAUAUACAAUAUAUAUAGAUGCACAUUUAAAGGUCCAUACGGAAUAAUUGGUUGAAGGUAAACAGCCUGGAUAAUUCAUUAGAAUCCAUUCUGAGAUGAUGCGAUAACUUAAGCUAUUCGAGAAGUAUUCGCAAUAGAGUAGAAGCGUUUUGGCGGUGACACAUUUGGAAAGUCGGGAAUAAUUAGGUUCAUAAUGGAUCGAAAGAAAAUAAAUAUUCUAUUUUCAGCUCGAUUAUGUCAUCUUCCUUUUUUUUGAUCAACUACUGGGACAAGAAAAAUUGGAUGUCGAGGAAUGAAUGGGUUGUGAACCUUCUGCCAGGUUGAUUGCGGCUAAAAUGUUGUCUUUUGUCGUUUUUCUUGCCUUAGAACUUGUAUAUGGUUGCAACAAAAACAUCACACUGUGUAAACCGGGAGCUCGAACUUCGUUGAUGGGGUUUUUUCUUAUAUCUUAGUUAAAGCGUAAUUGACACAAGUUUUUUUCCAA
Erigeron canadensis is the source of this 3617-nucleotide RNA transcript. It is a transcript of the gene named scarecrow-like protein 9, with no coding region annotated. Lineage: Eukaryota; Viridiplantae; Streptophyta; Magnoliopsida; Asterales; Asteraceae. The transcript is spliced from 4 exons. The record is from RefSeq and is a predicted model, not a curated record.